GAUCCAGAGAUGGUGACGCCCUUCGGGGCAUCUGUGAAGGUGCUGCAUGGUUGUCGUCAGCUCGUGCCGUGAGGUGUCGGCUCAAGUGCCAUAACGAGCGCAACCCCUCUCUUCAGUUGCCAUCAGGCUAUGCUGGGCACUCUGGAGACACUGCCACCGCAAGGUGUGAGGAAGGUGGGGAUGACGUCAAAUCAGCACGGCCCUUACGUCCGGGGCUACACACGUGUUACAAUGGGGGGUACAGAAAGCCGGCUGCCCGCAAGGUCAGUCCAAUCAAGAAAGCCCUCCUCAGUUCGGACUGGGGUCUGCAACCCGACCCCACGAAGCUGGAUUCGCUAGUAAUCGCGCAUCAGCCAUGGCGCGGUGAAUACGUUCCCGGGCCUUGUACACACCGCCCGUCAAGCCAUGAAAGCCGGGGGUGCCUGAAGUCCGUGACCGCAAGGAUCGGCCUAGGGCAAAACUGGUAAUUGGGGCUAAGUCGUAACAAGGUAGCCGUACCGGAAGGUGCGGCUGGAACACCUCCUUUCU
Molecule: ribosomal RNA, 528 nt
Filed under: Hallella mizrahii
Lineage: Bacteria; Pseudomonadati; Bacteroidota; Bacteroidia; Bacteroidales; Prevotellaceae
Description: bacterial SSU rRNA
Rfam family: Bacterial small subunit ribosomal RNA
Source: RNAcentral